GCCCUACGGGGCGCAGCAGUGAGGAAUAUUGGUCAAUGGUCGGGAGACUGAACCAGCCAAGCCGCGUGAGGGAUGAAGGUACAGAGUAUCGUAAACCUCUUUUGUCAGGGAACAAAGGCGGGGACGCGUCCCCGGAUGAGUGUACCUGAAGAAAAAGCAUCGGCUAACUCCGUGCCAGCAGCCGCGGUAAUACGGAGGAUGCGAGCGUUAUCCGGAUUUAUUGGGUUUAAAGGGUGCGCAGGCGGUCCGUUAAGUCAGCGGUCAAAGCCCGGGGCUCAACCCCGGCCCGCC
RNAcentral lists this ribosomal RNA (291 nucleotides) under uncultured bacterium. RNAcentral's name for it is "partial 16S ribosomal RNA". It matches the Rfam family "Bacterial small subunit ribosomal RNA", at positions 335 to 624 of the family's 1533-position model. The record is from RNAcentral.